Molecule: unclassified non-coding RNA, 299 nt
Filed under: plant metagenome
Description: partial contains small subunit ribosomal RNA, internal transcribed spacer 1, and 5.8S ribosomal RNA
Source: RNAcentral
UUUCCGUAGGUGAACCUGCGGAAGGAUCAUUAUCGAAUUUCGAGGGGAAGGAAGAUGAGGAGUGGAGACUGUCGCUGGCUUUCCCGCCUGGGGAGCAUGUGCACGCCUUGCUUUUUGUUGACCUUUCUCUUACUCUCACACCUGUGCACCCAUUGUAGGUCCUCGAAAGAGGAUCUAUGUUUUUAUCAUCACACGCAUCGUAUGUCCAUAGAAUGUAACAUGAUCGUCGAUCGACCUCGCGGUCGGGUGGCGGUCUAAAUAAAUAAAUGCAACUUUCAGCAACGGAUCUCUUGGCUCUC